GAUGAACGCUGGCGGCGUGCUUAACACAUGCAAGUCGAACGAAGCACCUUUGUCAGAUCCCUUCGGGGUGAAGACGUUAGUGACUGAGUGGCGGACGGGUGAGUAACGCGUGGAUAACCUGCCUUACACAGGGGGAUAACAGUUAGAAAUGACUGCUAAUACCGCAUAAGCGCACAGCAUCGCAUGAUGCCGUGUGAAAAACUCCGGUGGUGUAAGAUGGAUCCGCGUCUGAUUAGCUAGUUGGUGGGGUAACGGCCCACCAAGGCGACGAUCAGUAGCCGGCCUGAGAGGGUGGACGGCCACAUUGGGACUGAGACACGGCCCAGACUCCUACGGGAGGCAGCAGUGGGGGAUAUUGCACAAUGGGGGAAACCCUGAUGCAGCGACGCCGCGUGAGGGAAGAAGGUUUUCGGAUUGUAAACCUCUGUCUUUGGGGAAGAGUAGAAGACGGUACCCAAGGAGGAAGCCACGGCUAACUACGUGCCAGCAGCCGCGGUAAAAC
RNAcentral lists this ribosomal RNA (502 nucleotides) under uncultured bacterium. Its description in RNAcentral is "bacterial SSU rRNA". It matches the Rfam family "Bacterial small subunit ribosomal RNA", at positions 28 to 526 of the family's 1533-position model. The record is from RNAcentral.